This is a long non-coding RNA of Sinocyclocheilus rhinocerous, 92 nucleotides long. RefSeq lists it as uncharacterized. NCBI's taxonomy places the organism in Eukaryota, Metazoa, Chordata, Actinopteri, Cypriniformes, Cyprinidae. The transcript is spliced from 4 exons. The record is from RefSeq and is a predicted model, not a curated record.
UGUAUAUCCAGUAAUUUUUUUUCAAAAUUGAUAGAGGAGGUGGGUUUGCAAGGAGUCACUCGCAAUGAAAUGAGAACCAUAUUUUAUGAAAA